RNAcentral lists this ribosomal RNA (497 nucleotides) under uncultured bacterium. RNAcentral describes it as "bacterial SSU rRNA". It matches the Rfam family "Bacterial small subunit ribosomal RNA", at positions 779 to 1275 of the family's 1533-position model. The record is from RNAcentral.
UAGAUACCCUGGUAGUCCACGCAGUAAACGAUGAAUACUAACUGUCCGUGUCGAUUGAGACCUGGGUGGUACAGCGAAAGCGUUAAGUAUUCCACCUGGGGAGUACGCCGGCAACGGUGAAACUCAAAGGAAUUGACGGGGGCCCGCACAAGCGGAGGAACAUGUGGUUUAAUUCGAUGAUACGCGAGGAACCUUACCCGGGCUCAAACGACGGAUGAAUGUUUUUGAAAGGAGGCAGCCCUUCGGGGCGUCCGUCGAGGUGCUGCAUGGUUGUCGUCAGCUCGUGCCGUGAGGUGUCGGCUUAAGUGCCAUAACGAGCGCAACCCCCAUCGCCAGUUACCAUCAAGUAAAGUUGGGGACUCUGGCGAGACUGCCGGCGCAAGCUGCGAGGAAGGCGGGGAUGACGUCAAAUCAGCACGGCCCUUACGUCCGGGGCGACACACGUGUUACAAUGGCAGGCACAGAGAGAAGCGACAUGGCGACAUGAAGCGGAACUG